GAUGAAGAACGUAGCGAAAUGCGAUAAGUAAUGUGAAUUGCAGAAUUCAGUGAAUCAUCGAAUCUUUGAACGCACAUUGCGCCCAUUAGCAUUCUAGUGGGCAUGCCUGUUCGAGCGUCAUUUCAACCCUUAAGCCCUGUUGCUUAGCGUUGGGAGCCUACAGUACUGUAGCUCCCCAAAGUUAGUGGCGGAGUCGGUUUCACACUCUAGACGUAGUAAUUUUUUCUCGUCUGUAGUUGAGCCGGUCCCCUGCCGUAAAACACCCAAUUUAUCAAGGUUGACCUCGGAUCAGGUAGGAAUACCCGCUGAACUUAAGCAUAUCAAUAAGCAGAGGA
RNAcentral lists this unclassified non-coding RNA (335 nucleotides) under soil metagenome. RNAcentral describes it as "partial contains 5.8S ribosomal RNA, internal transcribed spacer 2, and large subunit ribosomal RNA". The stretch from base 1 to 120 matches the Rfam family "5.8S ribosomal RNA", at positions 35 to 154 of the family's 154-position model. The record is from RNAcentral.